UCCAGGGUAGCCUAGUGGACAUGGCAUCUGCCCGGUAAGCGGAACACUGUGGGUUCGAUCCCAUCCCUGGAC
This 72-nucleotide transfer RNA is filed under the name Cordylochernes scorpioides. RNAcentral's name for it is "tRNA-Thr". It matches the Rfam family "tRNA". From Rfam's summary of the family: Transfer RNA (tRNA) molecules are approximately 80 nucleotides in length. The record is from RNAcentral. Lineage: Eukaryota; Metazoa; Arthropoda; Arachnida; Pseudoscorpiones; Chernetidae.